Molecule: long non-coding RNA, 3595 nt
Organism: Oxyura jamaicensis (ruddy duck)
Lineage: Eukaryota; Metazoa; Chordata; Aves; Anseriformes; Anatidae
Exons: 6
Source: RefSeq, a predicted model, not a curated record
UGGUACUUCUGCAAGGGAGUGGUUGGAAGACGCAGUUUUUGAAAAGAUACUGCAACAAUGAAUGCGGUCAUGUUUGGGAGCUCCUCGGCUACGGCGGUGUUGCAAGCUAUAUGAGGAAGAGGUCACUUCAGAACGAAGUUAAGUGCUACCGCUCCCUUCCUCAAGGGCAGAGAAGACUGCGACGGCUGAGCAGAGGUUAUGUGUUCGGUCAGUCUGACAAAUCCACAGCUUUGGGCUGAUUGGGAUCUGCUUCCAAUGAGGGCCGGUUAAAUACGUGCACAAUCCAGCUUCGAACGUAGUCCUGCAUGUGAAUUAAACCCUACAAAACACUGUUAAUUUGAAUUUUAUCAUGUAAAACCAGAACCAGUGCACGUCUCUCAGCUGUCCUGCUUUGCUAUCCACAUCCCUCUGUCUUUCAGGCAACCGACUCCUGACUGAAGCAGCCUGCUGUUCAGCUGGCUGUGCAGGGCACAGACCAGUUUUGUUUCAAGCACGUAAGGAGAGGAGCAGAAGAACCACUUUGUUCCCCAGCCCUGCCCCCGGGUGUAUAAAUAGCCGCCUGGGUGGCUGCUGGAGUGCUUCUCAUUCCAGAGAUCUCUGGCCACCCUCUUAUCAAAACAGAAAGACUGACUUCACUCCCACUCUCUGCCGACUGAUUUCAUGCUGGAAACAGUACUAGCACUGUUUCCUUCUUCAUGCAGACCUCUGGGUGGGUUUUGACUCCUGAUGGCUCCACUCUGAACUUCAUUAUGCUCACAGCACCUCUCUGCCUUUUUUUUUUUCUUCCCUCAGGCAUAGCUUAUUGGCAAAGGCAGCUCUCAUCAGACCAACCUCACAGCUUUCUUACCAACUGCUGGCAUAAACAAAAGAAAUGUGUCCUCUCCCAGCUCUAGUGCGGCAUCUGAUGUCCUCCCCCAGUUCUGACGCUGCUGAAGACCAUCAUUUUUACGUAAGGUAUGCAGGAAGACCACAGCAGGCAAUACUGUGAAAUAAAGGCUCGGGCAGAAAGCAGCUGAUGGAGUUUAUAUGCACUCGUAUGUAAACUUAUACAGAUGUAUGCAUAGAUAAAUUAAAAGGUCUGGAAAUCAUUCUUGCUUAAUGUUUUCAUUAGUGAACUAGGCAUAAAUACUACAAGUUUGCCGGUGAAACUUGUGGAUGGUGAAAAGUUGGGAGGCACUAUCGGGAGGGUGGAAAAUCUGAAAAAUGUUAUGGGAAGAAAAUAAACCAAAUGAAAUUUCAGAAGCACAGAUGACUAAAGAAUGCAUAUGGAGAUUGCCAUCAAUAAUUGCUGUUAGUCUGAAAAAGCAGAAGCUGAAAAUAGAAGAAAAGUGGGAAUAAAAUGAAGCAGGCAACCGCAUGGCACCUCUGAAGCACUGGUAUAAUUUUCUUCAGACCGGGAAAUAUCCUGGAAUACAUUGAACAAAAUGUUUCCAGUGGAGAUAUUAAUUCUGUUACUGAAGACGACAUUGGUAAGGUGUUCCCAGGAUGCUAUAUAUGAUUCUGAUGUCUCAUGUUCAGGGAAAAUACAAAUCUGAACAGGUGUAAAGAAAGGCUACUGAGAUCACCAGGAGAGCCACGAUCAUUCCUUACAAACAGAGGCGAGGCAAGUUCAGCUCACCCAGCCUAGGAAAAUUAAGGUUGACAGGGGGUACGAUUUCCAUCUAAAAAUACACAGGAGUGGAACCAUGGAGAGGGAGAAGAACUAUUUAAAUUUGUCUGUGACUAAACUUAGGCUGUAAAUCAGAUGCAGGUUCCUGACCAUUAAAACAAACAGAGGCAAGGACAGCCUUCCAAUAGGAACAGCUGGGACCAAAAAAAAAAAAAAGGCACUAACACUUUAAAGAUGUAAUUUUGGCAGAGAAUAAAAUGCUAUAGCACCUUGGGAGGGAGAGGCAGGGGUUCAAUGAUGCUUUGUGUUCAUCUGAUUCUUGCAUCCACAUGAGGAACAUGUAGGGAGGUGACAGUCUCGAUGGGCAGCAAGAGUUGCAGGAUGUCCCUUUGGUCCCUUCUGUUAUUCUUCAUUUAUGCCCAGUGUUUCAGCCAAAAAUAUUGGCACAGUCCAGGUUUAAUUUUUCUGCAUGUGACACCCAGAUCUACGCGGCAGCUAACCUUGCAAAACUGACAAGGAACAGGAGUUUUCACAAGCAGCACAAGAGAUAUAAAUCACUUUAACAUAAUUCACACAUAACUGUGCUGGAGAGUGUAAAUUUGGUACAAAUUCUUCAAAUGUACAAAUAUGGAUGCCUCUGUUUCUUUUUCUCUCCAUUUCCCUUUGUCAGUAAAGAUUAGAUGUGUUUUAUUUACCGUGGGAAUAGCUAUUACUAGCUUUAAUAUUUUUUUUUGUGGCCAGGGGCUAAAAUAAGAGUUCCUUGACAUGUUUUCAGGUCUCACUGCUCUCAUGGUUAUUUUAUUUUAUUUAUUUGUUUUUCCCCAGAUAAAUAUAAGUUUAGAGGUGGUAGCAAAGGCCUAGAGAGGCUUCUCUAAAUGCUGUUUGUUUGUUUGUUUUUUAAUGGAUUUACCUAAAUGGUUAUAAUGGUUAGAUCAGCCAAUGCAAUAGGCAAGCUGUGUUUAUUUAGUUGAUUUCUAUACAUUGUUGGACCUGUUGAUACACUCAAAUUUCACCAGUUUGGCCUACCUUGAUAUUUGUAUCAGUAUAAAAACAAACAAACCACCAUAUAGGAUCAGCUGCAGUGGUCAUUGACUUACAAUGACAGCCCCAAAGAGCAUUUUCAGACCACCUCUGGCCAAACUGCAAAUGCAUCUUGGGAAAAGGCUGCCUGUGGCUGUCAAUGACUGAAUUAGUGGUGCUGGUGGGAAGAAAGGAGAAACGGUGUCAGGGCUGAGCUGUGCCAGGCUGCUCCCCAGCUGCCAGGCAAAGCGCUCGUCAUGCUCCAGCUUGCACCCAUCCCCUCCCUUGCAAUACCUUACAUAAAAGAUUAGAGGCUGAGCUGCACCUCUUCUCCCAUGGCAUUAAUUAAUGUAAAUAACUGCACGGAUCACUCUGAAGGGUUGGAUGUUUACCUGCCAAGCCCAACAUAAUUGGUGAUUGCGGCGGAUGUCAAGCCUAGCUUUGAGACAUCACUCAGCAAGCCCUUCCCGCGCAGCUGAUGGACUGCAAUUAAACCACACCAAGCCAUGGAUUCCUGCAGAAAGCCUUCCCUGCCAUUAAGGAAAAGGAAACUUAAAAGAGUGAAGAGGGUAGAUGAUUGAAGUAGCUGCUCCUGUAACAUGCUAGGCUGUGUCAAGAAUGGGAAACGUGAAGUCUGAGGGUUUUUUUCCAUGCAUUGGUGUGGUUUAAGGAACAGCAUGGGAUAUGACAGUCUGGGGUAGGGUAAUCCGGUAGUCGAGAGCUGCACAGGAAUUUGGAAGAACUGGUUUCAAUUCUUCCUCUGAGAGUUGAUUCCUUGCACAUAUAAAUGUUUAUUGCCUGUGGACACCAGCUGUAAAUAGUGGCAAAUGCUUCACAGGGACCAGGGGUGGUGUGUGUGUAAAUUGUCCACCUCAUUGGUUUUGUGAUGAUGUUAUGCUUAUUUUGGUGUGGCGAAUUAUUUUUCUUUUUGAUGUAAGAGAAUUUUGUGAAGAGUGUGAUGAUCAU